RNAcentral lists this ribosomal RNA (414 nucleotides) under Clostridioides difficile. RNAcentral describes it as "partial 23S ribosomal RNA". It matches the Rfam family "Bacterial large subunit ribosomal RNA", at positions 2509 to 2925 of the family's 2925-position model. Lineage: Bacteria; Bacillati; Bacillota; Clostridia; Peptostreptococcales; Peptostreptococcaceae. The record is from RNAcentral.
CGGGGAGGUUUGGCACCUCGAUGUCGGCUCAUCACAUCCUGGGGCUGUAGUAGGUCCCAAGGGUUGGGCUGUUCGCCCAUUAAAGUGGUACGCGAGCUGGGUUCAGAACGUCGUGAGACAGUUCGGUCCCUAUCCGUCGCAGGCGUAGGAAAUUUGAGAAGACCUGUCCUUAGUACGAGAGGACCGGGAUGGACGUACCUCUGGUGUACCAGUUGUCCUGCCAAGGGCAUGGCUGGGUAGCUAUGUACGGAAUGGAUAAGCGCUGAAAGCAUCUAAGCGCGAAGCCAACUUCAAGAUAAGAUUUCCCACCGCAAGGGUAAGACCCCAGAAAGACUAUCUGGUUGAUAGGUCGAAGGUGUAAGUGCAGCAAUGUAUUUAGCUUAUCGAUACUAAUAGGUCGAGGACUUGACCAAU